Non-coding RNA from Triticum aestivum (bread wheat), 124 nucleotides. NCBI's taxonomy places the organism in Eukaryota, Viridiplantae, Streptophyta, Magnoliopsida, Poales, Poaceae. The record is from Rfam.
AUUGUACUCCCUUCGUCGGGAAAUACUUGUCGUAGAAAUAGAUACAAAUAAAUGUAUCUAGAACUAAAAUACAUCUAGAUAUAUCCAUUCCUCGGACAAGUAUUUCCGGACGAGGGAGUAUUUC